This 250-nucleotide ribosomal RNA is filed under the name uncultured bacterium. Its description in RNAcentral is "partial 16S ribosomal RNA". It matches the Rfam family "Bacterial small subunit ribosomal RNA", at positions 524 to 776 of the family's 1533-position model. The record is from RNAcentral.
UACGAAGGGAGCUAGCGUUGUUCGGAAUUACUGGGCGUAAAGGGCGCGUAGGCGGGUUUCCAAGUCGGGGGUGAAAUUCCAGGGCUCAACCCUGGGACGGCCUUCGAUACUGGGAGCCUGGAGAUCGGAGAGUGAGUGGAAUUCCGAGUGUAGAGGUGAAAUUCGUAGAUAUUACGGAGGAACACCAGAAGCGAAGGCGGCUCACUGGCCCGAGACUGACGCUGAGGCGCGAAAGCGUGGGAGCAACAGG